CUCCUUCAGUGUGCCGAAGAGAUACUGAGUUCUUCCAGAUUUUUGCUUAGCUGGGUAGUUUCUAAACUCAACAGACUCUCCAGGAAAGAAACAGAGACAUGAAGAGGUUAAGACAAGUGACGGAGGUCUCAGGGCCAGGCAGGGAAAGAGUGACUUGUUUUGGAGGGUGGGAGCCCACCCACACAAUCAACCACAGUCACCCAGAUCUGCCCACUGAGCAUGCCUGCCCCUCGUCCUGACAUAACUGAUUAGGAAAUGAUUUCUAAAUGGUCAAGAGUCCAGCCUCGAUAGCCACUUCUCUGAUUCCAACAGAAUUUCUACAGAAGACAAUUUCCUUGUCUCAGCAAGAAAGACUGUGGGGAAUAAGAACUUUAAAAAUAUCGAAUAUGCCUGGUAGAUGCUGCCUUAAGUGAAGCAAGACUCCUGAUAUUCACAAGAAGAGACAAUAUAAAAGGAAAUUGAAGACCGGGCAUAGUGGCUCAUACCUGCAAUCCCAGCAAUUUGG
This 505-nucleotide long non-coding RNA is filed under the name Homo sapiens (human). RNAcentral describes it as "HSALNT0394622". Lineage: Eukaryota; Metazoa; Chordata; Mammalia; Primates; Hominidae. The record is from RNAcentral.